This 468-nucleotide ribosomal RNA is filed under the name uncultured bacterium. RNAcentral's name for it is "partial 16S ribosomal RNA". It matches the Rfam family "Bacterial small subunit ribosomal RNA", at positions 28 to 507 of the family's 1533-position model. The record is from RNAcentral.
GACGAACGCUGGCGGCGUGCUUAACACAUGCAAGUCGAACGGAAAGGCCCUGCUUUUGUGGGGUGCUCGAGUGGCGAACGGGUGAGUAACACGUGAGUAACCUGCCCUUGACUUUGGGAUAACUUCAGGAAACUGGGGCUAAUACCGGAUAGGAGCUCCUGCUGCAUGGUGGGGGUUGGAAAGUUUCGGCGGUUGGGGAUGGACUCGCGGCUUAUCAGCUUGUUGGUGGGGUAGUGGCUUACCAAGGCUUUGACGGGUAGCCGGCCUGAGAGGGUGACCGGCAACAUUGGGACUGAGAUACGGCCCAGACUCCUACGGGAGGCAGCAGUGGGGAAUAUUGCACAAUGGGCGGAAGCCUGAUGCAGCAACGCCGCGUGAGGGAUGACGGCCUUCGGGUUGUAAACCGCUUUCGCCUGUGACGAAGCGUGAGUGACGGUAAUGGGUAAAGAAGCACCGGCUAACUACGUG